RNAcentral lists this long non-coding RNA (4275 nucleotides) under Paramuricea clavata. The record is from RNAcentral. Lineage: Eukaryota; Metazoa; Cnidaria; Anthozoa; Malacalcyonacea; Plexauridae.
AGAAGACAAGAUGGCGCCGGUUUACUUCGUGGUCAAAGGACAUUUUUGUUCACAAAUACACACUUGUUUUACGUUAUAGCGACUGGUUAGUUUUGGAAAUUAUAACUCAAUAGACAGGGAUUCUUUAGUGAAGAGAAAAAUACGUGCAGUUGUUGACUUAUUGUGAUGUUAUUUGUUGUGAAAGACGGCCCGAAAUUUCGCUACAUCGCUGUACUGGUUUAUCAAAAGUUCUACUGGCAAUUCGACGAUGGAUAAAGAAACAACGCUUGAAUGAAAGAACAGCCUGUCUUAAUGGUAAGUUUUUAAAGGGUUGAGUAAUAUUUUUUAGUUUAAAGACCAUGUCAAGUUCUGCGCAUCAGUUCUGCUCAUAAGGCCACAUAGUCCCCGACCUCCAAUUUUUUUAAAUUUUUUUUUUUAAAUUUGUCCGAGUUUAGUGGAAAAACUCUAUAAAAAAGACCGUUUUACUUGAAAAAAUGGUGAUUUUAUUCUUCUGGGAGCUAUGUAAUACGUUUACACAAAGUUUCCUUCCCAGAAUAUGCCUGUUCGCAGCUAAAGUGUUCGCGCGUGACCGCCAAACGGUAAUUUUCUGGUUUAUUAAAAACAUGAACGGGAAGUUAAAAAACAUGAACGGAUUUUGAAAGAAUUAAAGUGAGUUUUGACUGUGGUAAUAUACUGGAUUUCCUGCAUUUAGCAGAAUUUUGUGUUGCAUUUUACGAAAAAAAAAAAAAAAUCCGUCCGCCCGACCUAGAAAAAUUAAAAUGGGUGGACGCUAAACAAGUCAUUUUUUUUAUGUGGCCUAACAAAGGGGAUCCCACAUUGCCCAUUGAAUUGAAACGUACUCUAGUUUAUAUUAAUUUACAAUAGCGAACCAGAAAAGUGUUUGGUAUUUAGUUAGUCUUUAUUUGACAAAUAUAGCAGUUCAAAAUGUAUUGAUGUAUUAAACAAAGGAUUUGUUUACAUUGGGUCAUUCCAUUUAUUAUCCGCACCCCCCCUAUGGAUGAGCUCUGGUAAAAAUGUUACCUGUAGGAAUCGGAUUUCAGAGAAGUACCCUGUUGGAAUCGACAGUAUCAAUCUAAACCCUAGGAAUGCUGCUAAUUGCCAAUAUCUCACUGGAAUCGGAUUUCAGAGAAGUACCCUGUUGGAAUCGACAGUAUCAAUCUAAACCGGUAGGAAUGCUGCUAAUUGCCAAUAUCUCACUGGUAGGAAUCUGCUAAUUGCCAAUAUCUCACCGGUAGGAAUCUGCUAAUUCCCAAUGUCAGACGGGGGGUCAGACCGGGGGUGGGGGUGAGAAUAAUAAAUGAAAUUAUUAUGAUUCUCAUAAUAAAUAUUUGGCAAUAUAGUAUGCUACACCUUGACGGCAAUAUCUGACCGGUAGGAAUCGGGCCAAAGGAAUCUGUUAAUUCCCAAUAUCUGACCAGUAGGAAUCCCCUAAGUCCUAAUAUCUGACCGGUAGGAAUCCGCUCAUCCAUAGGGGGGGUGUGGAUAAUAAAUGGAAUGACCCAUUACGGACUUGACAUGGUCUUUAAAGCUCUAGUCUCGAAGCUAUACUUCGGUAGCAGUCUUCGGUAGAGUCAGUAGACAAAUAAUUUGGCUAUAAACGUUGUUUGAUACAUCUCGUUGCUACUCACAACUUCACGUAAUUCACAUGCCUAUAAGUAAUUUGCCAAACGAGGCUUGAAAUUUAUAGUAGAACCCCAACACUUACUCACUAAUUUGUACUCCUCCAGUAAUAUUAUAGCUCAGUGGUUGAAGCUAGUCAGUGUAGUCACUUUCAUCAAAAUGGGCCACAGCGAUGUAGAGGUAUUGAUAUUAUAUGAAUAUUUAUAUUAUUCUCAUUCAACCGUAAAACUUGAUAACUUUAACACAUUUCUUUGCGUUUAAUAUUUGAACAUUUGGUUACGUUGCAUUAGAUCGGAACAAUGAAAUCUGGACGUUUUGAGUGUGAAAUUGUAAAUGGUAUAUAUCGUGUCGACUGUCGACAAGCACUCUACUCAUUUAUGUUUCAAAACUCGGCAAACGCAAGCUUGCUAUUGGUCUAUAUAUGUAUAUGAACUUGAAUUACAGGAGCGAAACGCUUGAAAAUAUGAAAAAUUGCUAAUACAAAACCAUGUGCUUGACAGUUGACACGAUAUAUACCAUUACAAUUUCACACUCAAAACGUCCAGAUUUCAUUGUUCCGAUCUAAUGCAACGUAACCAAACGUUCAAAUAUUAAACGUAAAGAAAUGUGUUAAAGUUAUCAAGUUUUACGGUUGAAUGAGAAUAAUGCACCUAUCAAUGUUAAGCCCCCAGGGGGGGAGGCCGGGAUAUAGGUGGGGAUUAGACUUUUUGAAGAAAAUUUUGAGCUAAUGCCCCAAUAUGGGGCAACAAAAUACAGGCGAAUAUUGAAAUAUUCCCCACCCUGGGGACCAAAUCCCCAUUAACAAAUUCUGUUGAGAAUAGAGCAGCAACGUUGUUUAAAAUUAUUAAAAGGAUUUUAUUCACAGAACUGUUGAUUGUUGAAUGAUUUAGGACUGUUAAAUUUUAUUUAGGACCAAUGAAUGUUUCAACAACAUUAUUCAAGUUUUUCUCCAUCAAAACGUUCAAAAAUUCCGUUAAAAUUCUAUUUCUACUCGUUUCGCUCGCCAUUCUGCUUGCUUUCCAUGGGGUUGCCCAACCGCAUCCAAGGAAUUACUGGUCAGCGGUAGUCACACGACUUAAACACGUGGUUUAAGAUUUGUCAAAUGUACCAACCCUCGGGCUCUGAAGAAUGGUAAAUAUCCCCACUUGGGGCAAGAAAUUUCGUGCAAAUCCCGAGGGUACGCCCGGCCUCCCCCCCCCCUGGGGGCAUAACAUUGAUAGGUGCAUAAUAUAAACAUUCAUAUAAUAUCAAUACCUCUACAUCGUGUCUUCGUCCAUUUCGACUAUGGCUUGGCGGGAAUUUGUAAAAUAUCCCUAAUUCACCCCCAGUCUGCAUUUUAUCCUCAGUCUGCAUUUUAUACCAUUUUGUACCCAGUCCCAUCUGCAGUCUGCAGUCAGUGUUCCGGUUUCAUAUUGGUGAUUGCUAGAAAGUAUACUUCAAAAUAAGGUUUCCGUUUUUAUAACGUAGAAAAAACUAUCCUAACGCCAAACUAAACCCUAAUACUAACCCGAACCCUAACCACAACCCUAACAUAACCCUAACCUAACCCUAACUUAUUUAAAAAAUUGAUAUAAAAACGGAAACCUUAUUUUGAAGUAUACUAUCUAGCAAUUGCCGUUUCAUAUCGCGGUAGUCCCCAAUCUCGUAUCCAGAGCAAUGCCGCGCCGGCUAGGAAAGCAUUGGCUCUGGGGAAAUUGACAACCGGAACCCCUAAAUUUAGGGGUUCCGCUUCUUUGUCGACAUGCACGAUUGAUAAACGUUAAACCAAUCACAGCACAGGAAAAAUUCAAUUUCCCCAGAGCCAAUGUCAUCCUAGCCCGCGUACAGGCAUUGCUCUGGGUACGAGAUUGGGUAGUCCCCCCCCCCCUCCCCCGUCCAUGACACUUGUGACGUCAGGUACAUACGGGACUUUGGGGGCGGGUUUUGGCGGGAAAAUCUGUAAUGUUUGGAGAAGACAAGAUGGCGCUGGUUACCUCGUGUUAUAUCAAAGGGCAUUUUUGUUCACAAAUACCCGCUUAUUUUACGUUAUAGCGACUGGUUCGUCUUGGAAAUUAUAACUCAAUGGACGGGGAAAAUGAUUCUGUAUUAAAGAGAAAAAGAUGUGCAGUUAUUGUGAUGUUAUUUGUUGUGAAAGACGGCCCGAAAUUUCGCUACUUCGCAGUACUGGUUUAUAAAACAUUUACAAGCAACAGCAAUUGAACUAUAUGACAAAGAAACCAAUGUGUACAAGCCAAUCAAGUUCUUCAGUUUGAAGGUCAGUUUAUUUUUAAUAAUUAGUUCAUGUAGUUAUAUAUUAAUACGAAGUACAGGGCCAUUCCAUUUAAUAUCCACACCCUCCUGUUGACUAGAUUUUCCGAAGGGGGUCUGAAAUUUUGAAUUUCUGAGGGUGUGCCAAGUUGAAAUUUCCGAGGGGGUUUGUGAAAGGAAAAUUUUUUAAGGUGUCAACAUUUUUGUAAUUUUCCAAGGAGUUAAAAAAUUUUUUUAAAUUUCUGAGGGGGGAGGAGGAAGGUAUACCUGUUGACGAAAAUUUCUGAGGGGGUGGUAAAUAAUUCCCAAAAAUUACUGAGGGGUCUAUCAUAGUGGAACCACGUCAACAGUUAUUUCUAAGGGCUUGAGAAAAAUUGUAAAUUUCUGAGGGGGUUCUUAAAAAAUAGC